Molecule: non-coding RNA, 287 nt
Organism: Otolemur garnettii (small-eared galago)
Lineage: Eukaryota; Metazoa; Chordata; Mammalia; Primates; Galagidae
Source: Rfam
GCCUAGAGUUCCAGCUACUCGGGAGGCUGAGACAGGAGGAUCACUUGAGUCCAGGAGUUCUGGGCUGCAGUGCGCUAUGCCAGUCAGGAGUGCACACUAAGUUCGGCAUCAAUAUGGUGACCUCCCGGGAGCAGGAGAGCUGCCAGUUGCCUAAGAAGGGAUCAACUAGCCCAGGUCAGAAACGGAGCAGGUCAAAACUGCUGUGCUGAUUAGUAGUGAGAGUGAGACCCUGCCUGUGAAUAGCCACUGCACUCCAGCCCAGGCAACAUAGCGAGACCCCAUCUCUA